Molecule: long non-coding RNA, 2492 nt
Organism: Lynx canadensis (Canada lynx)
Lineage: Eukaryota; Metazoa; Chordata; Mammalia; Carnivora; Felidae
Exons: 3
Source: RefSeq, a predicted model, not a curated record
UCCGGAGAGGACGGCGAGCUCGGCGACUGCCGGCCAGCCUGGCGGUGUACGGCGUCCUCGUCGCGGGGGAGCCCGAGCUGCUGAGAUCCGGGAGGCGCGCUGGGCCCGCGUCGGACGGCUCGGUCGUGUUUGCACACGCGCUGGUGCGACGCCCCUUGUUGGUGAUGGAGGUGGCGAGCAACAACAACAAAAAGGAGUUCUUUAUGGCGAAGUCAGACCAUCCUAGGCCUCUUGAGAGUUACUCCUUCCUUUUUGGAAUGAAUGCCCUGUGGGCAGGAUGGCUGAAAACCAGAGGAUAGUCCCUGCAGAGUCCUGUGCUUCUGAAGAAACACUCUUAUUAUGAAAGCUGUAUCGAAGCAGAUUGCAGUGCAGAUACCAGUCUGCCCUGGUCUUGGGCCACCACAGUGCCGACGUGAUGGAUUCAUGAAUGGAGUAGCCAUGGUGGACAGAUGAAGGCUCCUCCUGGGCACAGAAGCAUGGCGUCCCUCAUCAAAGCUGACCUUGCUACUGCUCCCACCCUCCCUGUCAGCCACGGAGAUGGAUGCCGGACCCUUUUAGUGUGCGAAUCUUUGAGGAGUCACUUAGUGAUUACGUGAGACCCUUUCCACCCUGGAGAGGGCAGCAAUUCAUUUUGACUAAGAUUGACAUGUUUUCUAAGUGUGCGUUUACCUUUCCUGCCUGUUACCAACUUGGUCAGCGCCUCUAUUCAAGGACUCACAGAGUAUCUGAUUUACUGACAUGGGAUCUCCCACAUACUGGCACUUCAGAUCAAAGGGCUGGAUUUAUGAAAAAAAGCGGUUCUGCAGUGGGUACAUGUCUUUGUGAUUCACUGAUCCCACUACAUCCCACAUCAUUGCUAAGCUGCUAGCCUGAAAGAGCAAUGGAAUGGCCUCAAAGAAACACAGCCGAAGCAACAGUUUGAAGGUGAUGUCUUACAAAGGUAUUCCUUCAGGAUACAGUAUAUGUAUAUGUUAAAGCAGAGGUUGGCGAACUGGUUCAGAGGCCAAAUCGGGCUUGCUACUGUUUUACAAACAUGAUGUCAUUGGGACACAAGCACGCUCAUCAUUUAUAUAUUGUCUGUGGCUUCUGUUAGGCUACAUCGGCAGAGUUAAGUAGUCAGGUCAGAGACUGUAUGGUCCACAAAGUCUAAAAUAUGUACCGACUGGCACUUUAAAGAAAAGGUUUGCCAUUUUCCCCUUAAAUCAGUGAUGGCUGUAUGGUUCUGUGUUACUGCUGGGAACCAAGGACUGGGAAGGAUCGCUCUGUUCCAGCAACCCACUUGGGAAACUUUUGCUUCCAGUUUCUGAAACUUUAGGGCUCUUCUGUUGAAGAACUAGAGGUCCUGGUUUCUAGAAAGGGAACACUUCCAAUAAGGGAAACAUUAAUAGUUCCACUAAACUUAAGGUGUUGGCUGCCACUGGUCAUUUUAUGCUCAUUGUGCUAGUAGACCAGCAAGAGGAGAAAAGAGUUACCAUACUUGAAGGGGUAAUUGAAUUUGAUAUUCAUGGGAAGGCCAGGUUGCUGCUACAUACUGGUAGCAGGGAAGAUUUAUAUGUAGCACUCAUGUGAGCCACUGGGUAUCUCUUGGUAAUCCAGACCUUGUAAAUUGGCAAGCAGAGCUUAACUGUGGCCAGACAACAGCAUGGUAACCAAAGUCUCAGACCCUUCAGAUAACAGUACCACACAGGAAGCCACCUAGACCAGCAGAAAUGCAAGCACAGGGUGAGGGGAAUGUAGACUGGCUAGUAAAGAAAGGAAAUCAUCCUUGUCAGUUCUGACCUCAGGACUGACGGCAGCUGUGGAGGCUAUAGUUUAUCCCACUAACUUCUCUUUUAAGUUUUCAUAGAAAUUGUAAUCAACCAGAAUCCUGGAGAAGUUGCCAAAGAAUGGAGUGAACCUAACGUGUAAAGCAAGUGGACCUGAGUGGUUCAAGGGGUGGAGCACAGCAGACAAUGUUGGUGCUGUGUCCAGACGUCCUGAGUUUGCUUUCGUUGGCUUGGUGUACGCAUUCUCCUCCAGCUGCUCCACGCGACGCUACUAAUGCACUUGCAACAUUUUCAAGAGGCUUGCCUUUGGUAGAUUGGAACAACAUCACCAGGAGGUGUCUGGAAGUUAUGCAUUACUUAUCCCUGUUACAGCCUGCAAACAGUGACUGCCUAAUGCCUGUUAUGGAGAUACAGAAACCUCACUCCCCUGCUAAGGUGGGAAAGACUGUGGUGUGCUGUGUGCAUCAGAGCUCCUGGAGAUGUGGGGCUGAGGCUAGACCCAGCUGAAACCACAGUCUUGCUUUGCUUCUUCCGUUCGCUUCUGCUGCUGCCCCUCCUUCCUUACGGGUUUUCCCUUUUUCUUCUCUUACACAGUUAUAAGUUUGGACCUUAAAAGAUACUGUUGAUAUGCUGAUUGGUCUAAAACAGGCAUGCAGGGGCAUGUGUUUGGCCCCAAAUUUCUUAUGUAAUUAUGUAAUUUCUCUCUUAAUAAAAAUCUUGAUUAUA